AAUAAAAAAAAAUAAUUAAAAAGAAAGCCCUUAAAAAAUGAAUUUAAUUGUAAGCCGAAAAUUAAUUGAAUAAUAAUAAUAAAAAAAACAAUGAAGUUCUCCGAUGACACAGCCACAGUCAAAACAAACAAAUUAAGAGAGGAAUAAAAUAAUUAUUCCACACCAAAUCCCCCUCUUUUGACUGGCGGCUGUGGUCAGCUGUGACUGGAUGAUCUCCAGGACGAUUGCCAGGACGACGUACUGCACGUAGACUGUGCAGAUCCUGAGCUGGCGCUGUCCUCAAGGAAAAACGUCGUGGGCACCAUAAUCACGCGUGAAUCCGGCCUUGUUGUUGUUGUUUUUCGCAUGCGGCGAGGGCGAGGUCUUGGUUCUUUGUGUGCUGAUUUUUCCUUCUCCCUCUCCUGGCUUGAUGGCGAACUUGGUUGUGGCGCCACUCUCAUCUCUCUCCUGCUGAUUUUUCUUCCCCCUCUUGCGAAAAGUUCAUUGACUUUUUGGCCGCCACAGAUAACAGCUGGCCCACGUUGUUUAUUUGCCGCACUCGUUGUGGUUUUUUGUGUGGGAGUUUUAAUGGCAAAUUCGGCCUUAUCUGUCGGUUGUCGGCGGCGCCGUCGGCGAGUAAAUGCACGCUGGGCGAUGUGGUCAGCAGGUGGGAAAUUUUGUCUUCGUAAACUUGAUUGGACACUGUGCGGCACGGCAAGAUCGCUUUAGAAGCCCUUUGUUGUCGUCGCUUGAAUCUUCUUUUCCGUCGACGUUUCUCUCUACGAGUCGCAGAAGGGACGUGGUCGUUGCUGGCGGAUGGUCGGUGGGCAUGGACAAUAUCCGUCUUGUCUGAGUGUGUGGAGAAGUGAGGGCGAGAAUUGGAGUUGCAAGCAUGGUUGGUGAGAAGGUAUUCUGGAUGAACUGAAUUCUGCCUUCUCGUGGAAAUUUGACGGAAGUGGUGGAAGCACUGCCGCAGGUGGCCAAUGCUGGAAGUCAAAGAGACCGACUGGAGGAAGGAUUGCCGAAGAGUAAUGCAAAUUUGGAGCAGAAGCCGAUGGUCCUGGCCAGCUCUGGCUUGUUGGGGAGUGGUUCUGGGAAGCAUAAAAUUGAGGAAGGUUUACUGCUCUUCGUUGGGUUGGAGGACAGUAUUGCAGUUUCCUCAACGAGAAUGGCGAUUUUGCGUGCCUCAAGAAUUGAUUUUGGUUCCUGGAUGUACACCUGCCAAUAAAAGUCGACUCGUAGGCCACGGAUGAAAAUGCGCAGGAACUCCGCUUCUCUAAUGUCAAAGUUUUGUUUUAAACUUAAUCCAACAAUGGGUUGUUCAUGGUGCCACAAUUCGUCUGCCAGCCCUCUCAAUCGGUGCUUACUGGCGGCUCAAAUUCGUCUUGAAAAACUUUCUGGAGUGAGGAGAAGUUGCUGAUGGUGGCCUCGUCAAGAUGCUUAACAAACUCCCUUGCUCGUCCAGAAGUGCGGAAAAGUAACAACCACCACACAUCUUUUGGCUGCAGUUGUUGGUCCCUCUGUGAGUACAUCUGGUUUUAGCGCCUCGUUAUGAUUGAUGUGGGACACUGGGUGUUCAGGCAGCAGUUGGCCAACCUGUGAUGCGCCGUCCAAGGGGAGGAGGUGCUCCUGAGGGUGCAGGACAUCCACCUGAGUGUACUGCUGGUAUUGGCAAGAAAGAAGUGUUUGUUGUUGUUGAAGUGGGAGGGAAAUUUGUGCAAUUGGGUCGUUGUCGUCCGACUUGUACAGCUGUAGAGUCUUUCCAGGGUCACACCCUCCAGGGUCACACCCCGUUGUUGUCUGCUCACAAGCCAGGGGUUCAAAAUGAAUUUGAUUUAAAAAUAAAGUAGACAGUUGUUCUUUGUCUGCCAUUGUAUUUUAACAAAAUAAAGUUGUAAAAAUUGUGUAAAUUGUAAUUUAAUUGUUUAUUUUGUUUGUCAGUAUAAUCCCCAGGAGUGCCAGGAUCGCCAAUUGGUAUUACAAAUUUAGUUUAUUGCAAACCAAAAUGAUAAUAAGAAGUUGCAAGUAAGGGGUUUGCAUAUGAUUAUACUGACUGAUUAUUUAAUUGCUUAAUAAAUUAUUAAUGGGUAAUUGUUCAGUAAUUUCUAUUGUGUAAAUUAUUAUGAUUAAUUUGUAAUUGUUUAAAACAAUGCAAGUUGGCUUACACACGGGCUUUAUUGUAUUCACAACAAUUCUGGCUGGAUAGGGUAAAUUCACUGGCUCGAAAUUGUCCGUAUAGUGUCACUUAAAAAUCAACAAAUGGGAGCGGUGUUCCCUGGGUAGGCCGGCAGGCUGCCCUGGAAACGUCCUUGCUGGGAACCCGGACGGCUCCCUGCAGGUCGGCGGCGGCUCUCGGCGCGGCCGGGGCCCACGGCGUGCGGGUCUCUGGCGGCGGACGUUCGGACGCCUUCGUCCGAGCGCUCGCUGGCGGCGUGCCACGUCGGCGCCCGAUUCCUCGGACAGGAAGGAGCUGGGGACAUAAACAAUAGGUCACUCGGCUGUACUUCCGUCUCACGUAGUGGUUUGACCUUUCGGCCAAAAGAAGGCCUCAGGGAGAAACAAUUGUAAUUUCUCUUACCUGGCAAAACUGCUCCGUACGGCUUCGGACGGCUCGGCCACACCCCGGACAGUACGAUGGACACAGGCGUGCCGCUCGAGGGGCUCGGGACGCGGUCGGCCUUCCGGCUGUCCUCGGACGAGACAGCGUCGGGACAAGACAGCGGUCGGGGCCUUGGGACGGCUCGGACGAGUGCGAAGGGUUCGGACGGGUGUCCGAAACUGCACUGGAAGUCCAGGUGUCCUCGGAUUUCUCUGAGGUCUGUCAGCCUUCUGCAUCGAGCCAGCGGACGGAGCGCCUUUUAUAGCGCGGGUAGCAGCCCUGGGAGGGUCGCGCAAAACCCACCCACCCAUU
This is a long non-coding RNA of Neocloeon triangulifer, 2890 nucleotides long. RefSeq lists it as uncharacterized. The transcript has 6 exons. NCBI's taxonomy places the organism in Eukaryota, Metazoa, Arthropoda, Insecta, Ephemeroptera, Baetidae. The record is from RefSeq and is a predicted model, not a curated record.